This 561-nucleotide long non-coding RNA is filed under the name Capra hircus (goat). RNAcentral describes it as "lncRNA (ENSCHIG00010029383.1)". The record is from RNAcentral. Lineage: Eukaryota; Metazoa; Chordata; Mammalia; Artiodactyla; Bovidae.
AAUACUACGGAAACUGGGCCAACAGGAGUUUAUUUUCUGUCCCAUGGCCUUUCACCAUUUCUAAUCUUUUGGCAACACACAUUGUUCCAACAUGUCUGGGCAUGUUUGGGAGACUGGCUUUGUUUCAAACCAAGCUCUCCAUGGAUUCCUGAUAAUUCAACGGUGGGAGAGGGUGGGAAUUGCCAAGAAAACUGUCGACAUACUUUAAAUUCAAGCUGGAAUCCUCAAUCCACAAAGACAUAUAGACACUGUUAUGAUAACUACAUUUAUUAUAGUUACAUGUCAUCAUAUCUGUUUUUCACUGUAUGCCCACACAUAGGAGUUCUUACAUCUAAAUAAACCUGAUGGAUACCAGGAACAAGUUGAAUUUGUUAAUUCUAUAAUCAUCUUAACUGUUAAGGCAAUCUAGGCUCUAGACAGAGAUCUAGAUUCUUGAGAGAGCAAGAUGCUCUUAAGAUUUUUAUAACUGCUGAUUCUUAAUAAUUUUAAAUGUUAUAUAUAUAAAAGCCUUAGUGCCUUACUAAAUAUAUCCCAUUGUUAUGAAAGAGAAAAUGCCAUUAU